RNAcentral lists this long non-coding RNA (948 nucleotides) under Coturnix japonica (Japanese quail). RNAcentral describes it as "lncRNA (ENSCJPG00005018396.1)". Lineage: Eukaryota; Metazoa; Chordata; Aves; Galliformes; Phasianidae. The record is from RNAcentral.
UCAUAUUAUAAACAGCCAUUACAGACCAGAAUGUUUAUGUGAGAGGAGAGAAAUUCUCCCAGUUGUCUGGACACAGAUAAAACAUACUCCAUACAGGAUUUUCCUUGUUUUGUAUGUAUGUAUGUAUGUAUGUAUGUAUUUAUUUAUUUAUUUAUUUUUCUCUCUUUAAUUCAGUUCAGCUGAAUCUUGAAUUUAGUGGCCAGCAACUAAGACGUGAACUGAGAUGCAGCAGAUCUUCUGUUUCUCAGCAGACAUUAUGCCUUUCAGAAAUAUCGCUAUUCAUAUAAGCGAAUGUAAAUACAGGUAAAUGGAUUUGGGCAAUAUUACUACACCAAAUUUGUAAAUGAUUUAACAUUUUCCUUUUAUCAUCAAGUAAAAAUAAUGCUAAAUUGUAUUAUUUUUCAAACAUUAUCAUUGCAGCUUGGUCACCUAUGCACCACAGUGCCUUUCUUUGCCCUAAGCGCUCUUCUCAGAACCUCUUUCUAGAACCCUCAACCUGCACGUUUGCAAUUGCUCUCAGUUCUGCUGUGAUAAAAAGUCUAUGAAGAGCUGGUGAAAUACACUACCAUUGCUAAGUAAGCCACUUGGUUAGAAGUGAGAGGAGCUCAGAAACUCAGCAAACUUGUCAGGAGAUAUUGCUUUGAACAAAACAUUCUCUGAUUGCAGGAUACCCAACAGAAUUUAAAUAAUGAAAAAAUAACAGAUAUCACAAUAGAGGAAGCUCUUAAUCUUGACCAUGUUCAUUCUUUUAUGGCUUUGUGGAAUAUAACAGUUGUUUAUGCUGCAGGAUAAGCUCAUUAAUUUAGAAAUAAGGAGAUUCAAGUUGCCUAUGGCUGCAUGGCAUACAUUUUUAUGUCUUUGCUAAUGGUCUGAUUCAGUGACCCAGGGUAGAAUAUUGAACAUCACCAAUACAAAUAGACUCCUGAAAUAAAUGAAAGUAUUCCAACA